This 466-nucleotide ribosomal RNA is filed under the name uncultured bacterium. RNAcentral describes it as "partial 16S ribosomal RNA". It matches the Rfam family "Bacterial small subunit ribosomal RNA", at positions 28 to 507 of the family's 1533-position model. The record is from RNAcentral.
GAUGAACGCUGGCGGCGUGCUUAACACAUGCAAGUCGAACGGAAAGGCCCUGCUUGCAGGGUCCUCGAGUGGCGAACGGGUGAGUAACACGUGGGUGAUCUGCCCUCUACUUUUGGAUAAGCCUUGGAAACGGGGUCUAAUACCUAAUAUGACAAUUGUUUGGAUGCGGUUGUGGAAAGCUUUUGCGGUAUGGGAUGAGGUCGCGGCCUAUCAGCUCGUUGGUGGGGUAAUGGCCUACCAAGGCGUCGACGGGUAGCCGGCAUGAUAGGAUGUACGGCCACACUGGACACCAAAGACGGCCAAGACUACGACGGGAGGCAGAAGGGGCGAAUACUGCACAAUGGGAGCAAGCGUGAGGCAGCAAGGCCGCGUGGGGGAUGAACGCCUUUGGGUUGUAAGAUCCUUUGGCAACCGACAAAGCCCUUUGGUGACGGUAGCUUGAGAAGAAGCACCGGCUAACUACGUG